GACGAACGCUGGCGGCGUGCUUAACACAUGCAAGUCGAACGGAAAGGCCCUGCUUUUGUGGGGUGCUCGAGUGGCGAACGGGUGAGUAACACGUGAGUAACCUGCCCUUGACUUUGGGAUAACUUCAGGAAACUGGGGCUAAUACCGGAUAGGAGCUCCUGCUGCAUGGUGGGGGUUGGAAAGUUUCGGCGGUUGGGGAUGGACUCGCGGCUUAUCAGCUUGUUGGUGGGGUAGUGGCUUACCAAGGCUUUGACGGGUAGCCGGCCUGAGAGGGUGACCGGCCACAUUGGGACUGAGAGACGGCCCAGACUCCUACGGGAGGCAGCAGUGGGGAAUAUUGCACAAUGGGCGGAAGCCUGAUGCAGCAACGCCGCGUGCGGGAUGACGGCCUUCGGGUUGUAAACCGCUUUCGCCUGUGACGAAGCGUGAGUGACGGUAAUGGGUAAAGAAGCACCGGCGAACUACGU
Molecule: ribosomal RNA, 467 nt
Filed under: uncultured bacterium
Lineage: Bacteria
Description: partial 16S ribosomal RNA
Rfam family: Bacterial small subunit ribosomal RNA
Source: RNAcentral